Molecule: ribosomal RNA, 768 nt
Filed under: Pseudoclavibacter helvolus
Lineage: Bacteria; Bacillati; Actinomycetota; Actinomycetes; Micrococcales; Microbacteriaceae
Description: bacterial SSU rRNA
Rfam family: Bacterial small subunit ribosomal RNA
Source: RNAcentral
UGCAGUCGACGAUGAAGCCCAGCUUGCUGGGUGGAUUAGUGGCGAACGGGUGAGUAACACGUGAGCAACGUGCCCAUAACUCUGGGAUAACCACCGGAAACGGUGGCUAAUACUGGAUAUCUAACAUGAUCGCAUGGUCUGUGUUUGGAAAGAAUUUUGGUUAUGGAUCGGCUCACGGCCUAUCAGCUUGUUGGUGAGGUAAUGGCUCACCAAGGCGACGACGGGUAGCCGGCCUGAGAGGGUGACCGGCCACACUGGGACUGAGACACGGCCCAGACUCCUACGGGAGGCAGCAGUGGGGAAUAUUGCACAAUGGGCGAAAGCCUGAUGCAGCAACGCCGCGUGAGGGAUGACGGCCUUCGGGUUGUAAACCUCUUUUAGUAGGGAAGAAGCGAAAGUGACGGUACCUGCAGAAAAAGCACCGGCUAACUACGUGCCAGCAGCCGCGGUAAUACGUAGGGUGCAAGCGUUGUCCGGAAUUAUUGGGCGUAAAGAGCUCGUAGGCGGUUUGUCGCGUCUGCUGUGAAAUCCCGAGGCUCAACCUCGGGUCUGCAGUGGGUACGGGCAGACUAAAGUGUGGUAGGGGAGAUUGGAAUUCCUGGUGUAGCGGUGGAAUGCGCAGAUAUCAGGAGGAACACCGAUGGCGAAGGCAGAUCUCUGGGGCAUUACUGACGCUGAGGAGCGAAAGCAUGGGGAGCGAACAGGAUUAGAUACCCUGGUAGUCCAUGCCGUAAACGUUGGGCGCUAGAUGUGGGGACCAUUCCACGG